RNAcentral lists this long non-coding RNA (218 nucleotides) under Elaeis guineensis (African oil palm). RNAcentral's name for it is "long non-coding RNA (EGUI_LNC002894)". Lineage: Eukaryota; Viridiplantae; Streptophyta; Magnoliopsida; Arecales; Arecaceae. The record is from RNAcentral.
ACCGCCUUUAGUUUUGAUCUUGACUGUGUGCACCUUCUCCAGUGAUGGUAUGUCAUCUUUCAGCUCUCUCACCACCUACUGAUAGGCGCAGCUCCUAGUCGGCUCUAAGCCGACUAUCAACUAUUCAUUGAAAAAAAAUCAUAACACAAUCUUUAAAUAUCUUUUGUUGACUUACUACUUACAUACCGCAACUCCAAAAUCUCUACCAUUUUUUCUGG